AAUGUAUGACGCUGUUGACUUUUUGAUUAAUGUUUGACCAUUCGUCUUAUUCAAAAAAUUUCUAUAAUUAUCAUUUAUUUUAUUGUGACUUAAUUUAUCAUCGAAAAAUCUUUAAGCAUGACAUAAAUAUUUUCAUAUUUGCACAAAAAAAAUAAAUAAGACGAAUGGUCAAAUGUUGGUUAAAAAGUCAAUGGCGUCAUACAUU
Oryza glaberrima (African rice) is the source of this 205-nucleotide non-coding RNA. The record is from Rfam. Lineage: Eukaryota; Viridiplantae; Streptophyta; Magnoliopsida; Poales; Poaceae.